RNAcentral lists this ribosomal RNA (507 nucleotides) under uncultured Glomeromycotina. RNAcentral's name for it is "partial small subunit ribosomal RNA". It matches the Rfam family "Eukaryotic small subunit ribosomal RNA", at positions 591 to 1092 of the family's 1831-position model. Lineage: Eukaryota; Fungi; Glomeromycota. The record is from RNAcentral.
CCAAUAGCGUAUAUUAAAGUUGUUGCAGUUAAAAAGCUCGUAGUUGAAUUUCGGGAUUGACGUGAUGGUCGUGCCUUACGGGGUAUGAACUGUUGCUGUUGAUUUCUCACCUUCUGGAGAAACUUGAUGUCCUUAAUUGGGUGUCUUGCGGAUCCAGGACCUUUACCUUGAAAAAAUUAGAGUGUUUAAAGCAGGCAUUUUUGCUCGAAUACAUUGGCAUGGAAUAAUAGAAUAGGACGGCAUGGUUCUAUUUUGUUGGUUUCUAGGAUCACCGUAAUGAUUAAUAGGGAUAGUUGGGGGCAUUAGUAUUCAAUUGUCAGAGGUGAAAUUCUUGGAUUUAUUGAAGACUAACUACUGCGAAAGCAUUUGCCAAGGAUGUUUUCAUUAAUCAAGAACGAAAGUUAGGGGAUCGAAGACGAUCAGAUACCGUCGUAGUCUUAACCAUAAACUAUGCCGACUAGGAAUCAGACGAUGUUAAUUUUUUAAUGACUCGUUUGGCACCUUACG